This 550-nucleotide ribosomal RNA is filed under the name uncultured archaeon. RNAcentral describes it as "bacterial SSU rRNA". It matches the Rfam family "Archaeal small subunit ribosomal RNA", at positions 876 to 1429 of the family's 1478-position model. The record is from RNAcentral.
GCACAGCAACGGGUGGAGCGUGCGGUUUAAUUGGAUUCAACGCCGGAAAUCUCACCGGAGGCGACGGUUAUAUGAAGGCCAGGCUGAUGACCUUGCCUGAUUUUCCGAGAAGUGGUGCAUGGCCGUCGUCAGUUCGUACCGUGAGGCGUUCUGUUAAGUCAGACAACGAACGAGACCCUCAUCUUUAGUUGCUACUAGUAAGUCCGCUUAUUAGGCACACUAAAGAAACCGCUGGCGAUAAGUCAGAGGAAGGUGAGGGCAACGGUAGGUCAGUAUGCCCCGAAUCCUCCGGGCUACACGCGCGCUACAAAGGCUAGGACAAUGGGCUUCAACACCGAAAGGUGACGGUAAUCCCGAAACCUAGUCGUAGUUCGGAUUGAGGAUUGAAACUCAUCCUCAUGAAGCUGGAAUCCGUAGUAAUCGCGGGCCAACAUCCCGCGGUGAAUAUGCCCCUGCUCCUUGCACACACCGCCCGUCAAACCAUGCGAGUUGGGUCUGAGUGAGGAUGUAGUUUUUGCUACGUUCAAACUUAGGCUUAGUAAGCGGGGUU